RNAcentral lists this ribosomal RNA (108 nucleotides) under Caerostris extrusa. The record is from RNAcentral. Lineage: Eukaryota; Metazoa; Arthropoda; Arachnida; Araneae; Araneidae.
ACCAUACCAUGCUGAAUAUACCGGUUCUCGUUAGAUCACCGAAGUCAAGCAUCAUUGGGCGCGGUCAGUACUUGGGUGGGUGACCACCUAGGAACACCGCGUGCCGUU